CGAUAAGUCAGAUGUGAAAUCCCCGGGCUCAACUUGGGAACUGCAUCUGAUACUGUUGAGCUAGAGUAUGUGAGAGGAAGGUAGAAUUUAGGUGUAGCGGUGAAAUGCGUAGAGAUCUGGAGGAAUACCGAUGGCGAAGGCAGCCUUCUGGCAUAAUACUGACACUGAGGCUCGAAAGCGUGGGUAGCAAACAGGAUUAGAUACCCUGGUAGUCCACGCCGUAAACGAUGUCUACUAGUCGUUGGGUCCCUUGAGGACUUAGUGACGCAGCUAACGCAAUAAGUAGACCGCCUGGGGAGUACGGCCGCAAGGUUAAAACUCAAAUGAAUUGACGGGGGCCCGCACAAGCGGUGGAGCAUGUGGUUUAAUUCGAUGCAACGCGAAGAACCUUACCUGGUCUUGACAUAUCUAGAAUCCUGCAGAGAUGCGGGAGUGCCUUCGGGAAUUAGAAUACAGGUGCUGCAUGGCUGUCGUCAGCUCGUGUCGUGAGAUGUUGGGUUAAGUCCCGCAACGAGCGCAACCCUUGUCCUUAGUUACCAGCGGGUUAAGCCGGGAACUCUAAGGAUACUGCCAGUGACAAACUGGAGGAAGGCGGGGACGACGUCAAGUCAUCAUGGCCCUUACGACCAGGGCUACACACGUGCUACAAUGGUAGGUACAGAGGGCAGCUACACAGCGAUGUGAUGCGAAUCUCAAAAAGCCUAUCGUAGUCCAGAUUGGAGUCUGCAACUCGACUCCAUGAAGUAGGAAUCGCUAGUAAUCGCGGAUCAGAAUGCCGCGGUGAAUACGUUCCCGGGCCUUGUACACACCGCCCGUCACACCAUGGGAGUUGAUUGCACCAGAAGUGGAU
Molecule: ribosomal RNA, 850 nt
Filed under: Psychrobacter luti
Lineage: Bacteria; Pseudomonadati; Pseudomonadota; Gammaproteobacteria; Moraxellales; Moraxellaceae
Description: bacterial SSU rRNA
Rfam family: Bacterial small subunit ribosomal RNA
Source: RNAcentral